UGAUGCUAUUUGACCGGAAAGGCGGCAGUGCCGCCGGAGCCGGCGGCGGCGGCGGCGGCAGUGCCCAUGGUGAAAUCGAGAGAUAUGGAGCCAGAGGUGAUUUCAGAUCACCGCCACCGAGACCAUACGAGUAUAAUGAUUAUGGGGACUAUAGGGGUGAGAGUGGACGUGGAGGUUAUGGAAUGACUAGGAGGACGAGGUCUUUUGGAGACAUGAGUGAAGCCGUGGGCCGAGAUGGGCGAGAAGAGAGAAGGGUUGUGACUCCAUUGAGGGAAAUGAAGCCUGAGAGAAUUUUUGGCAAGAUGGCUCAUUUGCACAGGUUGUUGGACAGGUUCUUGUCUUGCCGGCCCACGGGUUUAGCCAAGAACAGCAGGAUGAUUCUGAUUGCUCUUUACCCAAUUGUGAGAGAGAGUUUCCAAUUGUAUGCCGAUAUAUGUGAGGUUUUGGCAGUCUUGCUGGACAAAUUCUUUGACAUGGAGUAUCCAGAUUGUGUUAAGGCUUUUGAUGCUUAUGCUAGCGCAGCUAAGCAGAUCGAUGAGCUGAUUGCGUUUUAUAAUUGGUGCAAGGAUAAUGGCGUGGCUCGAUCCUCAGAAUAUCCAGACGUGCAGAAGAUUACAAGUAAGUUGUUGGAAACUUUGGAGGAGUUUGUGAGGGAUAGGGCAAAACGGCCCAAGAGUCCUGAGAGGAAAGAGGAGGCUCCUUCUGUGGCUCAGGAAGAAGAGCCUGUACCUGAUAUGAAUGAAAUUAAGGCACUACCACCGCCAGAGAAUUACACUCCUCCUCCUCCUACCCCUCCUCAGCCGGAGCCUAAGCCUCAGCAACCACAGGUUGCUGAAGAUUUGGUGAAUUUAAGGGAUGAUGCUGUCACUGCAGAUGACCAGGGGAAUAAAUUGGCUUUGGCUUUGUUUGCUGGGCCACCUGCUAAUAACGGAGAUGGGUCAUGGGAAGCAUUCCCAUCUAAUGGUGAGCCUCAGGUGACCUCAGCUUGGCAGAACCCAGCUGCUGAACCUGACAAGGCAGAUUGGGAAUUGGCACUGGUUGAAUCGGCCAGCAAUCUAUCGAAGCAAAAGGCAACAUUGGGAGGUGGGUUUGAUCCAUUGUUGUUAAAUGGCAUGUAUGAUCAAGGAAUGGUGAGGCAACAUACUAAUACUACACAAUUGAGCGGAGGUAGUGCUAGCAGUGUGGCAUUGCCAGGGCCAGGUAAGAGUGCAACACCUGUUUUAGCUCUUCCGGCUCCAGACGGUACAGUUCAGACUGUUAAUCAGGAUCCUUUUGCUGCUUCUCUGAGCAUUCCACCUCCUUCGUAUGUGCAAAUGGCUGAUAUGGAGAAGAAACAACAUAUGCUUGUCCAGGAACAGAUAGUGUGGCAGCAAUAUGGGAAGGAUGGAAUGCAAGGCCAAUCUAGUUUGGCCAAACUCAAUGGCACCGGCUACUACACUGCGGGGCCAGGGCCAAUGCCAAUGAUGCCUUACGGGAUGCCACCAGUGAACGGAAUGGGGCCACCGGCUGGGUAUUACUACACUCCUUAGUGAUUUUUAUUCUGUUUAUCUAUAGAUGACUUCUCUUUGUUCAUGUUAUGUUUAUCUUUCUAGUUUUUUUUUUUUUUUAAAUCCUUUUAAAGCUUUUGAUGCUAUUCCUACAAUUUGUGCACAAGAUGGGAUUGGGAGGGAGGAAAGAAUGAAUUCAAUACGCUAGUGAUUGUGGGAGUUUUGAUGUUUGGGAGACCUGUAAUAGAAAUCUUGGCAUCUCUUUGUACUUUGUAAUAUUAGCAUUUCUUUGACAUCUCUUGAUGUUCUGAAUUAUUCUCUGUUUAAGAAUUAGUUGUGCCUUAAUGAAUUUUGAUUAGAAUAGAAAAGUUAGGUGGUAAGCUUCCCAGAAUGCUAAUUAAUGUCCCUUUCUUGGCUUGGAAGCUGUUAGGGAAAGAGGAAAAUAAUCCUCCAAAUUUGUGAAGCAGAGAUAUUCAUAUUCCCCAUCAUAAGCGUUGGUGUUGGUUUGAUAUGGGCCGUUAAAACUUGGUUACUCCAAAUUUGGUGGAAUUGCUUUCCCUCAUGAUAAGGAGCUAAGUUCCUAUUAGAAGUACAUUGUUAUUAUCAUACAUUUGUAUUAGAAUACAGUCUGAUAUAUCUGUGGCUUUAGCUGCAACUCUCUUAAUUCCAGCUGUGCAUUGGAUGUUUUAACCAUGUAUGUGACGAGCUUUAACAGGCACGUCUCUAAUUAAAUAUUUGAGAAUGCUUUGUGUCUUGAUUUAUUUGAAACCCAAUUUGGACAUGUACAGUCACUAGUCUUCAGCCAGAACAUAAAUGGGG
Molecule: unclassified non-coding RNA, 2306 nt
Filed under: Hevea brasiliensis (rubber tree)
Lineage: Eukaryota; Viridiplantae; Streptophyta; Magnoliopsida; Malpighiales; Euphorbiaceae
Source: RNAcentral